UAUGUAUAUACUUGCAUUGUAAGCUCAUGAUGUAUUGAAAUUAUUUACUUUGUGCUGUUCUCAUGCGAAUUUCAUGGUCACCAAACAGCAAGAGCGUGUUUAAGAGGAAUGGACAGAAGAGAAUCAUAGGAAACUAUGAAACGCAUGACUUUUGGGAAACAUGUUAGAGGAUGUGCAAGCAAACAACAUUUGUGUUGUCAAUCUGGCUGUUUGGUGUUUGUUUUAAGGAUAUUAAAUAUUCUGAACCGUCCAUUUAUUAUUUUUACUUUCCAUUUUUUGUUUUUCCUUUUAUGUUUUUCUGCCAACCGUUUCUAUUGAAACUAGAGUGAGAUAACUCUGCGUUUCUUGUGGUAAAUGGAGUUGCAAAUGAUCCAUGAACCAAGAAUGUGAUGCUGAGGAGCAAUUUUGACCUCUGAGUCGUUUCGGACAUCAAAUAUUGAAUGACGAGGAACAUAAUUUCAUUCUCGUGUUGAGAUUUAGAGGGAAAACAACAACAAAGAAAGUGUAACUUUCAAUAUCUGCAUUUGGGCCAUGGGCAUGGAUUCUCUAAAACAUUCUACUGAUCAUUCUGUCUGAGAACUUGAUUUAUGCAAAAACAGAAAUUCUUGCCCUGAAAACUGAAUGUGAUAGCCAAUCCUUUGGCCCCUUGACUUGGAUAAUUACAGUGACGUAGUGAUAAGUUUGGCAAGAUGAGAAGUUCAAGAGGUCGCAGCAUGAAACAUACACGUUUGUUUCAUCGUGAAGAUCAAAGAAGUCAAGAAGAAAAGAACAUUGUGUGGGAGAGAGUGGAGGGUGAUACUGAUAAAAGUUUUAGGACAAGGGAGAUUCCAGUGAAGAGGUUGUUGAAUGUAGGGCAUUUUACAAGUGCUUCAGGGGACUUGUCAAAGUUUAGCAAGGGAAAGAACUUUUCAGCAGGAAUGAAUGUCAUGGACUAUGAUGUACCUGAACUGGUUGUUUUUAUUCAAGAGGAUAAUGAACAGUUUGUGAAGGACACUUGCAUUGGUA
Vigna umbellata (rice bean) is the source of this 1005-nucleotide non-coding RNA. NCBI's taxonomy places the organism in Eukaryota, Viridiplantae, Streptophyta, Magnoliopsida, Fabales, Fabaceae. The record is from RefSeq and is a predicted model, not a curated record.